AUACGUAGGGUCCGAGCGUUGUCCGGAAUCAUUGGGCGUAAAGCGCAUGUAGGCGGCCAUGUUAGUCGGAUGUGAAAUCCCAGGGCUCAACCCUGGAACUGCAUCCGAUACUGCAUGGCUUGAGGAAGGUAGAGGAGAGUGGAAUUCCCGGUGUAGCGGUGGAAUGCGCAGAUAUCGGGAGGAACACCAGCGGCGAAGGCGGCUCUCUGGGCCUCUCCUGACGCUGAGAUGCGAAAGCGUGGGUAGCGAACAGGAUUAGAUACCCUGGUAGUCCACGCCGUAAACGAUGGGUGCUAGGUGUGGGGAUCAGUUCACGAUCUCCGUGUCGAAGCUAACGCGUUAAGCACCCCGCCUGGGGACUACGGCCGCAAGGCUAAA
RNAcentral lists this ribosomal RNA (378 nucleotides) under uncultured bacterium. RNAcentral describes it as "bacterial SSU rRNA". It matches the Rfam family "Bacterial small subunit ribosomal RNA", at positions 523 to 898 of the family's 1533-position model. The record is from RNAcentral.